RNAcentral lists this ribosomal RNA (1014 nucleotides) under uncultured bacterium. RNAcentral describes it as "bacterial SSU rRNA". It matches the Rfam family "Bacterial small subunit ribosomal RNA", at positions 31 to 1090 of the family's 1533-position model. The record is from RNAcentral.
AGACUAUGGGGCUGCCUACCAUGCAAGUCGAAUGUUGCUCGCAAGAGUAAACAUGGCAGACGGCUGAGUAACGCGUGGGGACUUACCCCGAGGUCGAGCAUAACUCGCCGAGAGGCGAGAUAAUUCUCGAUGUUGUCGAAAGACUAAAGAUUUAUCGCUUCGGGAGAGACCUGCGUCCGAUUAGCUUGUUGGUGAGGUAACGGCUCACCAAGGCUUUGAUCGGUAGGGGGCCUGAGAGGGUGACCCCCCAGACUGGGACUGAGACACGGCCCAGACUCCUACGGGAGGCAGCAGUGAGGGAUUUUCCACAAUGGGCGAAAGCCUGAUGGAGCAAUGCCGCGUGCAGGAUGACGGCCCUCGGGUUGUAAACUGCUUUUAUGAAGGAAGAUUAUGACUGUACUUCAUGAAUAAGACGCUGCUAACUACGUGCCAGCAGCAGCGGUAAUACGUAGGCGUCAAGCGUUAUCCGGAUUCACUGGGCGUAAAGCGUCCGCAGGUUGAUUUGUAAGUCUGAUAUCAAAGAUCCCGGCUCAACCGGGAGAAGGUACCAGAAACUGCAAGUCUAGAGGCCAGUAGGGGCUGUCGGAACUUAUCGAGUAGGGGUAAUAUCCGUUGAUACGAUAAGGAACACCAAAGGCGAAGGCAGACAGCUGGGCUGGCCCUGACACUCAUGGACGAAAGCGUGGGGAGCGAACGGGAUUAGAUACCCCGGUAGUCCACGCCCUAAACGAUGGUCACUAGGCAUUGGCGGUUUCGACCCCCCCAGUGCCGAAGCUAACGCGUUAAGUGACCCGCCUGGAGAGUACGAUCGCAAGAUUAAAACUCAAAGGAAUUGACGGGGACCCGCACAAGCGGUGGAGCAUGUGGUUUAAUUGGAUGGUAAGCCGGGCACCUCACCCAGAUUUGACAUCCUGCUGAAAGGCACUAGAAAUAGAGCCCCUCUUACGACAGCAGAGACAGGUGCUGCACGGGUUGUCGUCAGCUCGUGUUGUGAAAUGUACGGUUAAGUCCGAU